This 147-nucleotide non-coding RNA is filed under the name Homo sapiens (human). Lineage: Eukaryota; Metazoa; Chordata; Mammalia; Primates; Hominidae. The record is from Rfam by way of RNAcentral.
GCCAGGCGUGGUGGCGCGUGCCUGUAAUCCCAGCUACUUGGGAGGCUGAGGCAGGAGAAUCGCUUGAACCCAGGAGGCCAAGGUUGCAGUGAGCCGAGACCACACCACUGCACUCCAGCCUGGCAACAGAGUGAGACUCUGCCUCCA